AAUGGCGGAAGAAAUGUGAGUAAAAAGUUUCAUCACUCAUUGAACUUUGCCUUCGGUCAUGAUGUAGUCACUGAACUUUGAUAUGUUUCUGGCUGGUCACUGAACUUACAUGAAGUGACCUCCAUCCAUCACUUAGCAAACAGCCGUUGGAAGGGUGUCUAACGUGGCAUGACGGUAGUCUACGUGGCACGUUAGCAACAUCUCCUCUAAAUGAAAACACGACUCCGUGGCUGGAGAAAUCACGACUUUCACCAAAUGAAAAUGAAAACACCACCACUUCAAAUGAAAAGCCCUAAUCCUAUCUCAGAAAUUGAAAUUCCCAAAUCCCUCGCUCAAACCCGGCAACGAAGAAGAACCCUAGGAUUCGAUUCCCCUAAAUUCGAUUUCGAAAAGCUCGAAUUUCAGUCCCAAAUCGCGAUUUCAGUUAGUAAUGAAGCUUUUUACUCAUUGAAAAGCCAUAAUUCCAGUCCCAAAUUGCGACCAAAGGAGAACGAUUUUUAGCGAAUUGAACUCGAUUUUUCAGCGAUUUCCAGUCCCAAUUGAACCCAAUUUUCAGUGACUGGAACCGAGACGCAUCCUCGUCUUCGUCUUCCUGGCAGCACGAAACUGAUUUUGCUCACAAACCCACGGUUCGGUAGCCGACAUUUUUCAAAACGAGAAAGAGAUCAUGAUACGGUUACUGAGAACUACAUCCAUCUGUUUGAGCAUAUUUUAAGUGGUCAUGAUAUUGGUGAUUGCAAAUGUGAUGCCCAGUUGCUUGUGCUUUUCAUGUAGAAGGAAAAUUGAGCAAGUCUGGUUGAUGAAUUAUUUAUCUGAGAUGGAGUGGAAUACGAGGUGGGAUUGGUAGAACUUUGUUAUGUUCGGCUCCAAAGUGAUUGAUAGCUCCAAGAAGGUAGUAUCAGCAGAGUGGAUGAGUAUGGAUUAUGGGGAAAUUUCGUUCAAUUUGUCUGGUGACGGUGGGAAUAGUGGUGGUUCUGGUUAGGAAGUUGGGCAUGGUUCUAUUGCUAAGAGCUCAAUAUCAGCUUCUUCAGAUUCUUUACCAAAGGAUGGGAUGAAAACUCCCAAUUUCAAUUUUCAGGCAUUUGAGGGCUCUGCUGGAGAUUUUAGCAAGAAAAUUGAAAGCAACAGAAAUCAGAUUUCAAUACAUUUAUUCGUAGUAUUUUGCUUCAUUUCUAACUGUGCUUGUUUCGGCUUAGUAUUUUGCUUCGGUUUUAUGUACCUUUAUUUGUAAUGAUGUUCACACUAAUUCAGUUAUUGAUACAAGAUCUUAUUUACUUGUUCGA
Molecule: long non-coding RNA, 1283 nt
Organism: Olea europaea var. sylvestris
Lineage: Eukaryota; Viridiplantae; Streptophyta; Magnoliopsida; Lamiales; Oleaceae
Exons: 2
Source: RefSeq, a predicted model, not a curated record